CCAGAUACAGGUGGGCCUGAGCGAGUGGCUGGUUUUCCCCCAUCUCUCUGCAUGCUGUUGGAGGUCCAGCUCAGCGGAAAUGGAGGGGCUGUCGUCUUUGGGAGGAGAAGCUUGGUCAUCAGAAGCAGAGGAAAUGGAGCCCAGGACUGUCCAUCUGUGGCUGCUGUGGCUCUUGACUCCUUUCCCCAUGGAUGACCUGCUUCUCAUCAGGAUGGUGCUUAAACGACCUGAUGCUGGAUUAGCAACCUAGGAUGCAUCCACACAACAGAAUAUUGUUCAGCAAUUAAAAGGAAUAAAAUACUGUAAAAUGUCAGUUGCAGGCCCUCCCUGGUGGUGCAACGGG
Condylura cristata (star-nosed mole) is the source of this 343-nucleotide long non-coding RNA. RefSeq lists it as uncharacterized. Lineage: Eukaryota; Metazoa; Chordata; Mammalia; Eulipotyphla; Talpidae. The record is from RefSeq and is a predicted model, not a curated record. The transcript has 3 exons.